Molecule: ribosomal RNA, 483 nt
Filed under: uncultured bacterium
Lineage: Bacteria
Description: partial 16S ribosomal RNA
Rfam family: Bacterial small subunit ribosomal RNA
Source: RNAcentral
GACGAACGCUGGCGGCGUGCUUAACACAUGCAAGUCGAACGAUGAAGCUGGAGCUUGCUCCGGUGGAUUAGUGGCGAACGGGUGAGUAACACGUGAGCAAUCUGCCCUUGACUCUGGGAUAACUGCAGGAAACUGUAGCUAAUACCGGAUAUGAGGCUCGAAGGCAUCUUCGGGUCUGGAAAGAAUUUCGGUCAAGGAUGAGCUCGCGGCCUAUCAGCUUGUUGGUGAGGUAAUGGCUCACCAAGGCGACGACGGGUAGCCGGCCUGAGAGGGUGACCGGCCACACUGGGACUGAGACACGGCCCAGACUCCUACGGGAGGCAGCAGUGGGGAAUAUUGCACAAUGGGCGAAAGCCUGAUGCAGCAACGCCGCGUGAGGGAUGAAGGCCUUCGGGUUGUAAACCUCUUUUAGCAGGGAAGAAGCGAAAGUGACGGUACCUGCAGAAAAAGCACCGGCUAACUACGUGCCAGCCGCCGCGGUAA